CAGUUGUUCCAUCUUGUUUAAAAAGAGAUGGAUGGUUAUUUUGGCCAACUUGUGUUUAUGCAAUAAAAGCUACCUAUAAUAAUUUUCCAAUCAUAGAUUCCUGCAACAAGCUUAGACUUAAAAGAGUUAAAGUAACUGGAGAUAAAGAAGUAUGUGCAGGAUUUAAUUUCACGACUAAAGAGGACUCCGAAGAAGAAUUAAAGUUCUGGUGGAUCAAAGAUCGAGGAAUGAUUAGGUUUUAACUGGUUUGCAUCUUAUGUACAAAGUACAUAGUAUGAUUUAAAUUGAUAGUUGAUAGUUACACCUAUUAAAAUUCUGUAUCUCAAUGAUAUCCUUGCUUAUCGAUAC
Molecule: long non-coding RNA, 348 nt
Organism: Hydra vulgaris (swiftwater hydra)
Lineage: Eukaryota; Metazoa; Cnidaria; Hydrozoa; Anthoathecata; Hydridae
Source: RefSeq, a predicted model, not a curated record